RNAcentral lists this ribosomal RNA (484 nucleotides) under uncultured bacterium. RNAcentral's name for it is "partial 16S ribosomal RNA". It matches the Rfam family "Bacterial small subunit ribosomal RNA", at positions 30 to 507 of the family's 1533-position model. The record is from RNAcentral.
AUUGAACGCUGGCGGCAGGCCUAACACAUGCAAGUCGAGCGGAUGAAGGGAGCUUGCUCCUGGAUUCAGCGGCGGACGGGUGAGUAAUGCCUAGGAAUCUGCCUGGUAGUGGGGGAUAACGUCCGGAAACGGGCGCUAAUACCGCAUACGUCCUGAGGGAGAAAGUGGGGGAUCUUCGGACCUCACGCUAUCAGAUGAGCCUAGGUCGGAUUAGCUAGUUGGUGGGGUAAAGGCCUACCAAGGCGACGAUCCGUAACUGGUCUGAGAGGAUGAUCAGUCACACUGGAAAUGAGACACGGUCCAGACUCCUACGGGAGGCAGCAGUGGGGAAUAUUGGACAAUGGGGGAAAGACUGAUCCCGCCAUGCCGCGUGUGUGAAGAAGGUCUUCGGAUUGUAAAGCACUUUAAGUUGGGAGGAAGGGCAGUAAGUUAAUACCUUGCUGUUUUGACGUUACCAACAGAAUAAGCACCGGCUAACUUCGUG